Molecule: ribosomal RNA, 254 nt
Filed under: uncultured bacterium
Lineage: Bacteria
Description: partial 16S ribosomal RNA
Rfam family: Bacterial small subunit ribosomal RNA
Source: RNAcentral
UACAGAGACUGCAAGCGUUUAUUCGGAUUCACUGGGCGUAAAGGGUGCGCAGGCGGCCGUGUGUGUGAGGCGUGAAAGCCCGGGGCUUAACCCCGGAAUUGCACCUCAAACUACAUGGCUAGAGCAUUGGAGAGGGUAGCAGAAUUCAUGGUGUAGCAGUGAAAUGCGUAGAUAUCAUGAGGAAUACCAGAGGCGAAGGCGGCUACCUGGACAAUUGCUGACGCUCAGGCACGAAAGCGUGGGGAGCAAAAGGG